ACANGUGCUGCAUGGCUGUCGUCAGCUCGUGUUGUGAAAUGUUGGGUUAAGUCCCGCAACGAGCGCAACCCUUAUCCUUUGUUGCCAGCGGYUCGGCCGGGAACUCAAAGGAGACUGCCGGUGAUAAACCGGAGGAAGGUGGGGAUGACGUCAAGUCAUCAUGGCCCUUACGGCCAGGGCUACACACGUGCUACAAUGGCGCAUACAAAGAGAAGCGACCUCGCGAGAGCAAGCGGACCUCAUAAAGUGCGUCGUAGUCCGGAUUGGAGUCUGCAACUCGACUCCAUGAAGUCGGAAUCGCUAGUAAUCGUAGAUCAGAAUGCUACGGUGAAUACGUUCCCGGGUCUUGU
This 350-nucleotide ribosomal RNA is filed under the name uncultured bacterium. RNAcentral describes it as "bacterial SSU rRNA". It matches the Rfam family "Bacterial small subunit ribosomal RNA", at positions 1034 to 1384 of the family's 1533-position model. The record is from RNAcentral.